RNAcentral lists this ribosomal RNA (253 nucleotides) under uncultured bacterium. RNAcentral describes it as "partial 16S ribosomal RNA". It matches the Rfam family "Bacterial small subunit ribosomal RNA", at positions 524 to 776 of the family's 1533-position model. The record is from RNAcentral.
UACGUAGGGUCCGAGCGUUGUCCGGAAUUAUUGGGCGUAAAGGGCUCGUAGGCGGUCUGUUGCGUCGGGAGUGAAAAUUCACAGCUUAACUGUGAACUUGCUUCCGAUACGGGCAGACUUGAGGUAUUCAGGGGAGAACGGAAUUCCUGGUGUAGCGGUGAAAUGCGUAGAUAUUGGGAGGAACACCAGUGGCGAAGGCGGCUCACUGGACCGGAACUGACGCUGAGGCGCGAAAGCGUGGGGAGCAAACAGG